GUGUUUGGUCCUCGGGUGCUGCAGGAGACAUCUCAAAUAUGGGUGUUUCUGGAAAUACAGCACUCAGUAGUGAAACUGAAGGUCUCCAAACUUCCAAGUUAUGUUCCUGUUUUUUAUGUAAUAUCCCCAUUGUUUCAUAUCCUGUAUUUUAAG
Amblyraja radiata (thorny skate) is the source of this 153-nucleotide long non-coding RNA. RefSeq lists it as uncharacterized. The record is from RefSeq and is a predicted model, not a curated record. Lineage: Eukaryota; Metazoa; Chordata; Chondrichthyes; Rajiformes; Rajidae. The transcript has 3 exons.